This is a non-coding RNA of Prunus avium (sweet cherry), 178 nucleotides long. Lineage: Eukaryota; Viridiplantae; Streptophyta; Magnoliopsida; Rosales; Rosaceae. The record is from RefSeq and is a predicted model, not a curated record.
GCAAAGUGAUAACAACCUCAUUCCGAUAAGGAAAGUUACGCAGUGGUCGAUUUGUAGGAGUUAAAAUGUUGGAGAAGCCUAAAGCUAAUGGACAAGAUUUCAUAAGUGAGGUAGCUACUAUUGGAAGGAUUCACCAUUUUAAUAUGGUUCAACUUGUUGGUUAUUGUGUUGAGGGAUC